RNAcentral lists this long non-coding RNA (447 nucleotides) under Medicago truncatula (barrel medic). Its description in RNAcentral is "long non-coding RNA (MTRU_LNC008056)". Lineage: Eukaryota; Viridiplantae; Streptophyta; Magnoliopsida; Fabales; Fabaceae. The record is from RNAcentral.
GUGAUUCUAUGAUUCUGUUUAAUUGAAUUGAAACUAGCUAUGAAGAUUUUUCAGAAACCUCAGACAGUUUAUUGUAACACUCAAAGUUAAAUGAAUUAUGAAACCUCAGACAGUUUAUUGUAACACUCAAAGUUAAAUGAAUUAUAGGGUACGAAAUUGAGAAAUUACAAGUUUUAUUUGAAUUGGAUUAAAACUCUGCCUAUGUCGUAGUUGUUGAAAAUCAUCAAAAAUCCAGUUCGACCUAUGAAGCACUGACACAUACACAAACACCAAACACAACACUAACACGUAGACACUGGUAGUAAUUUAAGAAAAUGGAAGUGAUUGAAUAUAACCACAUGAGUCAGUAUCGGACACCAAACACACCUUCAAUCUCAAGUAUCAAUGCUACAUAGAGUCCGAUGCACAGAUAAAAUAGGAGGGUUGUUUUAGUUCUUAAACAGUGAA